GCACAAGCGGUGGAGCAUGUGGUUUAAUUCGACGCAACGCGCAGAACCUUACCAGCCCUUGACAUGUCUAUGACCGGUACCAGAGAUGGAACCUUCCCUUCGGGGCAUAGAGCACAGGUGCUGCAUGGCUGUCGUCAGCUCGUGUCGUGAGAUGUUGGGUUAAGUCCCGCAACGAGCGCAACCCCCGUCCUUAGUUGCUACCAUUUAGUUGAGCACUCUAAGGAGACUGCCGGUGAUAAGCCGCGAGGAAGGUGGGGAUGACGUCAAGUCCUCAUGGCCCUUACGGGCUGGGCUACACACGUGCUACAAUGGCGGUGACAAUGGGACGCUAAGGGGCAACCCUUCGCAAAUCUCAAAAAGCCGUCUCAGUUCGGAUUGGGCUCUGCAACUCGAGCCCAUGAAGUUGGAAUCGCUAGUAAUCGUGGAUCAGCAUGCCACGGUGAAUACGUUCCCGGGCCUUGUACACACCGCCCGUCACACCAUGGGAGUUGGUUUUACCUGAAGACGGUGCGCUAACCGAAAGGGGGCAGCCGGCCACGGUAGGGUCAGCGACUGGGGUGAAGUCGUAACAAGGUAGCCGUAA
RNAcentral lists this ribosomal RNA (583 nucleotides) under uncultured bacterium. Its description in RNAcentral is "bacterial SSU rRNA". It matches the Rfam family "Bacterial small subunit ribosomal RNA", at positions 923 to 1505 of the family's 1533-position model. The record is from RNAcentral.